Molecule: unclassified non-coding RNA, 434 nt
Filed under: Hevea brasiliensis (rubber tree)
Lineage: Eukaryota; Viridiplantae; Streptophyta; Magnoliopsida; Malpighiales; Euphorbiaceae
Source: RNAcentral
GAUGAGCGUUACAGUCACGUUCCUUCCUGCCACGCGUUACCAAUUAUGCGUUCUCUCCGUUGACUUACCCACCGAAACUCACGCUAGCCAUUCAACUACACCUUCUUCCUCUUCUUUUUUUUGUUUCCUUCCUAUUUUCGGCAUUCUUUGCUGAACUAGUCCAAACGCCGUCGGAUCAUCCAACGACACCAUCUACGCUCCCAAUAAAUUGCUCCAUCUUUAAUACCAUGCACUGCAUCACUCCAUCUUCAAUUUGAUUUUCGGUUUUUGCUCCCUCUGUAUAAUUUAUCUGUGAAAAGGAGCUGAUUAGGUGGCGAAUUCCCUGCCCAAACAGAGAACAGAAUCUAGAGAAAAAGAAGGAAGAAGACAUGGCAAACAACUCAUAUGAGGAAGCCGUUGCAGGACUGUCAAAGCUUCUCAGUGAGAAAGCUGAC